AGGACGAACGCUGGCGGCGUGCUUAACACAUGCAAGUCGAACGAGGUACAGGAGAGCUUGCUCGAAGGUAACCGAGUGGCGGACGGGUGAGUAACGCGUGAGGAACCUGUCUCACACAGGGGAAUAACGCAUCGAGAGAUGUGCUAAUACCGCAUAGGACCACGAAGUCGCAUGGCUUUGAGGUGAAAGGAGGAAUCCGGUGUGAGGUGGACUCGCGUCUGAUUAGAUAGUUGGUGAGGUAACGGCCCACCAAGUCAACGAUCAGUAGCCGACCUGAGAGGGUGAUCGGCCACAUUGGGACUGAGACACGGCCCAGACUCCUACGGGAGGCAGCAGUGGGGAAUAUUGGGCAAUGGGCGAAAGCCUGACCCAGCAACGCCGCGUGAAGGAAGAAGGUUUUCGGAUCGUAAACUUCUGUCCUAUGAGAAGAUAAUGACGGUAUCAUAGGAGGAAGCCCCGGCUAACUACGUGCCAGCCGCCGC
RNAcentral lists this ribosomal RNA (482 nucleotides) under uncultured bacterium. RNAcentral describes it as "bacterial SSU rRNA". It matches the Rfam family "Bacterial small subunit ribosomal RNA", at positions 26 to 518 of the family's 1533-position model. The record is from RNAcentral.